UACGGUGAAUACGUUCCCGGACCUUGCACGCACCGCCCGUCAAGCCAUGGAAGCCGGGUGUACCUAAAGUCGGUAACCGUAAGGAGCCGCCUAGGGUAAAACUGGUGACUGGGGCU
RNAcentral lists this ribosomal RNA (116 nucleotides) under uncultured bacterium. RNAcentral describes it as "partial 16S ribosomal RNA". It matches the Rfam family "Bacterial small subunit ribosomal RNA", at positions 1358 to 1482 of the family's 1533-position model. The record is from RNAcentral.